UGGCUCAGUGGUAGAGUGCUUGCCUUGCAUGCAUGAGGUCCUGGGUUCAAUUCCUUA
This 57-nucleotide transfer RNA is filed under the name Dipodomys ordii (Ord's kangaroo rat). It matches the Rfam family "tRNA", at positions 8 to 63 of the family's 71-position model. Rfam says of the family: Transfer RNA (tRNA) molecules are approximately 80 nucleotides in length. The record is from Rfam by way of RNAcentral. Lineage: Eukaryota; Metazoa; Chordata; Mammalia; Rodentia; Heteromyidae.